This 422-nucleotide ribosomal RNA is filed under the name uncultured bacterium. RNAcentral describes it as "bacterial SSU rRNA". It matches the Rfam family "Bacterial small subunit ribosomal RNA", at positions 355 to 774 of the family's 1533-position model. The record is from RNAcentral.
UGAGGAAUAUUGGUCAAUGGGCGCAAGCCUGAACCAGCCAUCCCGCGUGAAGGAUGAAGGCCCUAUGGGUCGUAAACUUCUUUUAUACCCCAAGAAGAAGCAGGACGAGUCCUGCCCCGACGGUAGUGUAUGAAUAAGCAUCGGCUAACUCCGUGCCAGCAGCCGCGGUAAUGCGGAGGAUGCGAGCGUUCUCCGGCUUCAUUGGGUUUAAAGGGUGCGUAGGCGGCUUUUUAAGUCAGUGGUGAAAUCUUGCCGCUUAACGGUAAAAUGGCCAUUGAUACUGAUAAGCUUGAGUACCAUUGAGGUAAGCGGAAUGUGUAGUGUAGCGGUGAAAUGCUUAGAUAUUACACAGAACACCGAUUGCGAAGGCGGCUUACUAAACAGUCACUGACGCUGAUGCACGAAAGAGUGGGGAGCGAACA